GUGUAGCGGCAAAUGCGCAGAGAUAUGGAAGGAACACCAGUGGCGAAGGCGGCUCUCUGGUCUGCAACUGACGGUGAGGUGCGAAAGCGUGGGGGAUCAAACAGGAUUAGAUACCCUGGUAGUCCACGCCGUAAACGAUGAGUGCUAAGUGUUAGGGGGUUUCCGCCCCUUAGUGCUGCAGCUAACGCAUUAAAGCACUCCGCCUGGGGAGUACGGCCGCAAGGUUGAAACUCAAAGGAAAUUGACGGGGACCCGCACAAAGCGGUGGAGCAUGUGGUUUAAUUCGAAGCAACGCGAAGAACCUUACCAAAUCUUGACAUCCUCUGACCACCCUGGAGACAGGGUUUCCCUUCGGGGCAGAGUGACAGGUGGUGCAUGGUUGUCGUCAGCUCGUGUCGUGAGAUGUUGGGUUAAGUCCCGCAACGAGCGCAACCCUUAUCAUUAGUUGCCAGCAUUCAGUUGGGCACUCUAAUGAGACUGCCGGUGACAAACCGGAGGAAGGUGGGGAUGACGUCAAAUCAUCAUGCCCCUUAUGAUUUGGGCUACACACGUGCUACAAUGGACAGGUUACAAAGGGCAGCUAAGCCGCGAGGCCAAGCGAAUCCCAUAAAACUGUUCUCA
This 621-nucleotide ribosomal RNA is filed under the name Salinicoccus sp. Its description in RNAcentral is "bacterial SSU rRNA". It matches the Rfam family "Bacterial small subunit ribosomal RNA", at positions 673 to 1290 of the family's 1533-position model. Lineage: Bacteria; Bacillati; Bacillota; Bacilli; Caryophanales; Staphylococcaceae. The record is from RNAcentral.